Molecule: ribosomal RNA, 415 nt
Filed under: uncultured prokaryote
Description: bacterial SSU rRNA
Rfam family: Bacterial small subunit ribosomal RNA
Source: RNAcentral
GUGUCAGCCGCCGCGGUAAGACGUAGGGGGCAAGCGUUGCUCGGAAUCACUGGGCUUAAAGCGCGUGUAGGCGGACCGGAAAGUCAGGUGUGAAAUCCCUGGGCUCAACCUAGGAACUGCAUCUGAAACCUCCGGUCUAGAGUGUCGGAGAGGGAAGCGGAAUUCCGGGUGUAGAGGUGAAAUUCGUAGAUAUCCGGAGGAACACCGGUGGCGAAGGCGGCUUCCUGGACGACUACUGACGCUGAGACGCGAAAGCGUGGGGAGCAAACAGGAUUAGAUACCCUGGUAGGCCACGCCGUAAACGAUGAGUGCUAGAUGUCUCGGGUAUUGACCCCCGAGGUGUCGUAGCUAACGCGUUAAGCACUCCGCCUGGGAACUACGGCCGCAAGGCUAAAACUCAAAUGAAUUGAUGGGG